RNAcentral lists this ribosomal RNA (253 nucleotides) under uncultured bacterium. RNAcentral describes it as "partial 16S ribosomal RNA". It matches the Rfam family "Bacterial small subunit ribosomal RNA", at positions 524 to 776 of the family's 1533-position model. The record is from RNAcentral.
UACGUAGGGGCCAAGCGUUGUCCGGAUUUAUUGGGCGUAAAGGGCGCGUAGGCGGCUCAUGAAGGCUGUGGUGAAAGUCCGGGGCUCAACCUCGGAUCGGCCGUGGCGACUCGUGGGCUGGAGCACUGUAGAGGCGGGUGGAAUUCCGGGUGUAGCGGUGGAAUGCGUAGAGAUCCGGAAGAACACCAGUGGCGAAGGCGGCCCGCUGGGCAGUGGCUGACGCUGAGGCGCGAAAGCGUGGGGAGCAAACAGG